GACGAACGCUGGCGGCGUGCUUAACACAUGCAAGUCGAACGAAGAGCGACGGAGGCUUGCUUCUAUCAAUCUUUUUGGCGCGCGUGUGUGUCACGCGUAUUCAACCUGCCCUUCAGAGGGGGACAACAGUUGGAAACGACUGCUAAUACCGCAUACGAUCUAAUCUCGGCAUCUUGGUUGGAUGAAAGGUGGCCUCUACAUGUAAGCUAUCACUGCAGGAGGUGAUUGCGUCUGAUUAGCUAGUUGGAGGGGUAACGGCCCACCAAGGCGAUGAUCAGUAGCCGGUCUGAGAGGAUGAACGGCCACAGUGGGACUGAGACACGGCCCAGACUCCUACGGGAGGCAGCAGUGGGGAAUCUUCCGCAAUGGACGAAAGUCUGACGGAGCAACGCCGCGUGAGUGAUGACGGCCUUCGGGUUGUAAAGCUCUGUUGAUAGGGACGAAAGGCCGUCUUGCGAAUAGUGAGAAGGAGUGACGGUACCGGAAUAGAAAGCCACGGCUAACUACGUG
Molecule: ribosomal RNA, 510 nt
Filed under: uncultured bacterium
Lineage: Bacteria
Description: partial 16S ribosomal RNA
Rfam family: Bacterial small subunit ribosomal RNA
Source: RNAcentral